UUACCAGGGUUUGACAUGCAAGUGGUAGGAGGCCGAAAGGUGACCGACCCUUCGGGGAGCUUGCACAGGUGCUGCAUGGCUGUCGUCAGCUCGUGUCGUGAGAUGUCGGGUUAAGUCCUUAACGAGCGAAACCCUUGCCGUUAGUUACCAGCGGGUCAUGCCGGGAACUCUAGCGGGACUGCCGGUGUUAAACCGGAGGAAGGUGGGGAUGACGUCAAGUCAUCAUGGCCUUUAUGCCUAGGGCAUCACACGUGCUACAAUGGCCGGGACAAAGCGACGCAAGACCGCGAGGUGGAGCUAAUCGCAAAAACCCGGCCCCAGUUCGGAUUGCAGGCUGGCAACUCGCCUGCAUGAAGUUGGAAUCGCUAGUAAUCAUGAAUCAGCUAUGUCACGGUGAAUGUGUUCCUGAGCCUU
This 414-nucleotide ribosomal RNA is filed under the name uncultured Phycisphaerae bacterium. RNAcentral describes it as "bacterial SSU rRNA". It matches the Rfam family "Bacterial small subunit ribosomal RNA", at positions 971 to 1382 of the family's 1533-position model. Lineage: Bacteria; Pseudomonadati; Planctomycetota; Phycisphaerae. The record is from RNAcentral.